This 61-nucleotide microRNA precursor is filed under the name Heliconius melpomene (postman butterfly). RNAcentral describes it as "Hme-Mir-3338_pre stem-loop". Lineage: Eukaryota; Metazoa; Arthropoda; Insecta; Lepidoptera; Nymphalidae. The record is from RNAcentral.
AGCAAACACAGUAGUGUACAAUGCUAAGUUGACAUACGCAUGUACUUACUUUGUUUGUUCU